AAAAGGAAAAUUUUUUUUUUUUUUAAAACUUUCAACAACGGAUCUCUUGGUUCUGGCAUCGAUGAAUAACGCAUCAAAAUGCGAUAAGUAAUGUGAAUUGCAGAAUUCAGUGAAUCAUCGAAUCUUUGAACGCACAUUGCGCCCGCCAGUAUUCUGGCGGGCAUGCCUGUUCGAGCGUCAUUUCAACCCUCAAGCCCCCGGGUUUGGUGUUGGGGAUCGGCGAGCCCUUGCGGCAAGCCGGCCCCGAAAUCUAGUGGCGGUCUCGCUGCAGCUUCCAUUGCGUAGUAGUAAAACCCUCGCAACUGGUACGCGGCGCGGCCAAGCCGUUAAACCCCCAACUUCUGAAUGUUGACCUCGGAUCAGGUAGGAAUACCCGCUGAACUUAA
RNAcentral lists this ribosomal RNA (386 nucleotides) under Fusarium sp. nc_gw_9967a. Its description in RNAcentral is "eukaryotic LSU rRNA". The stretch from base 27 to 180 matches the Rfam family "5.8S ribosomal RNA". The record is from RNAcentral. Lineage: Eukaryota; Fungi; Ascomycota; Sordariomycetes; Hypocreales; Nectriaceae.